GCAAAUUUACACCGUAACUUCGGGAGAAGGUGUGCCGCUGGCGGUCAGUAACUUCGCGUUACGAAGCUGUCGGUGGUCACAGUGAAAUGGCGGUUGCGACUGUUUACUAAAAACACAGGACUCUGCGAAGUCGUAAGACGACGUAUAGGGUCUGAUGCCUGCCCGGUGCUGGAAGGUUAAGGGGAUAUGUCAGCGCAAGCGAAGCAUUGAACCGAAGCCCCAGUAAACGGCGGCCGUAACAAUAACGGUCCUAAGGUAGCGAAAUUCCUUGUCGGGUAAGUUCCGACCUGCACGAAGGGCAUAACAACAUCCGCACUGUCUCGACCAGGGACUCAGCGAAAUUACAUUGGGGGUGAAGAUGCCCUCUACCCGCGGAAAGACGGAAAGACCCCAUGAACCUUUACUGCAACUUGGCAGUGAUUUUCGGGUUGUUCUGCGUAGGAUAGGUGGGAGGCUUUGAAGCCGGGCCUCCGGGUUCGGCAGAGCCAACGUUGAAAUACCACCCUGAAUAAUCUGGAAAUCUAACCUGCGCCCAUGAUCUGGGCGAGGGACACUGCCUGGUGGGCAGUUUGACUGGGGCGGUCGCCUCCUAAAUUGUAACGGAGGCGUGCGACGGUUCCCUCAGGCUGAUUGGAAACCAGCCGUAGAGUGCAAACGCAUAAGGGAGCUUUACUGCGAGACUGACAAGUCGAACAGUUGCGAAAGCAGGUGUUAGUGAUCCGGUGGUACCACAUGGAAGGGCCAUCGCUCAUCGGAUAAAAGGUACUCUGGGGAUAACAGGCUGAUCGCGCCUGAGAGUUCACAUCGGCGGCGCGGUUUGGCACCUCGAUGUCGGCUCAUCGCAUCCUGGGGCUGGAGCAGGUCCCAAGGGUUUGGCUGUUCGCCAAUUAAAGUGUACGCGAGCUGGGUCUAAAACGUCGUGAGACAGUUUGGUCCCUAUCUUCCGUGGGCGCAGGACACUUGAGAGGAGCUAUCCAUAGUACGAGAGGACCUGGAUGGACGAACCUCUGGUGCUCCGGUUGUCACGCCAGUGGCAUAGCCGGGUAGCCAUGUUCGGAACAGAUAACCGCUGAAGGCAUAUAAGCGGGAAGCUGGCCUCAAGACUAGGUGUCCCUGACGCAAGUCACUAAAGGCCCCUCGAAGACUACGAGGUUGAUAGGCUCGGUGUGGAAGCGCUGCGAGGCGCGGAGCUAACGAGUACUAAUAGGCCGUGCGACUUGACCUC
This 1225-nucleotide ribosomal RNA is filed under the name metagenome. RNAcentral describes it as "bacterial LSU rRNA". It matches the Rfam family "Bacterial large subunit ribosomal RNA", at positions 1717 to 2925 of the family's 2925-position model. The record is from RNAcentral.